This 1512-nucleotide ribosomal RNA is filed under the name uncultured marine bacterium. RNAcentral's name for it is "bacterial SSU rRNA". It matches the Rfam family "Bacterial small subunit ribosomal RNA". The record is from RNAcentral. RNAcentral also lists the same sequence under 1 other name.
AGAGUUUGAUCCUGGCUCAGGAUGAACGCUAGCGGCGCGCUUAACACAUGCAAGUCGCGCGAUCGGACCAGACCAAAGUCCUUCGGGACAAUGGACUGGUUACGGAGCGGCGGACGGGUGAGUAACACGUAGCUAACCUACCUUCAUGGAGGGGCAUAGCAUCGGGAAACCGCUGUUAAUACCCCAUAAUAUUACUUUUGUAAUCAAAAUGGCUUCGGCUAUGCCUGAAGAGGGGGCUGCGUCCUAUUAGCUAGACGGUGAGAUAAAAGCUCACCGUGGCAAAGAUAGGUAGGGGGCCUGAGAGGGCGACCCCCCACACUGGGACUGAGACACGGCCCAGACUCCUACGGGAGGCUGCAGUGGGGAAUCUUGCGCAAUGGGCGAAAGCCUGACGCAGCGACGCCGCGUGGAGGACGAAGGCCUUCGGGUUGUAAACUCCUUUUCUGGGGGGGGCGAAUAAGGUGAGCAGGCAAUGGUUCACCGAUGACGGUACCCCAGGAACAAGCGCCGGCUAACUUCGUGCCAGCAGCCGCGGUAAGACGAAGGGCGCAAGCGUUAUCCGGAAUUACUGGGCGUAAAGGGCGUCUAGGUUGCCUAUCAAGUCGAUUAGUGAAAGUCCUCGGCUAAACUGAGGAAAGUCUGUCGAAACUGAUAGGCUCGAGGGACGUAGAGGGAGGCGGAACUCUCGGAGUAGCGGUGGAAUGCGUAGAUACCGAGAGGUACCCCGAUGGUGAAGACAGCCUCCUGGGCGUCACCUGACACUGAAGCGCUAAGGCCAGGGGAGCAAAGGGGAUUAGAUACCCCCGUAGUCCUGGCUUCAAACGAUGUGGGCUUGGUGUCGGCUCCCGAAGAGAGUCGUUGCCGGAGCUAACGUGUUAAGCCCACCGCCUGGGGAUUACGUCCGCAAGGAUGAAACUCAAGGGAAUUGACGGGGGCCCACACAACCGGUGGAGCACGUGGUUUAAUUCGAUGAUAAGCGAAGAACCUUACCAGGACUUGACAUGUCGGUAAUAGGACCCUGAAAAGGGAACGAACCAAAGCUUUGCUUUGGUAGCCGUCACAGGUAUUGCAUGGCUGUCGUCAGCUCGUGUCGUGGGACGUUGGGUUAAGUCCCGUAACGAGCGCAACCCCUGCCCUUAAUUGCCAGCGCAUUUGGCGGGUACUAUAAGGGGACUGCCGGAGAAUAUCCGGAGGAAGGAGGGGACGACGUCAAGUCAUUAUGAUCCUUAUGUUCUGGGCGACACACGUGCUACAAUGGGCACUACAGUGGGGAGCCAAUCCGCAAGGAUGAGCAAAUCCCAAAAAGGUGCCCCCAGUGCGGAUUGGGGUCUGCAACCCGACCCCAUGAAGAUGGAAUCGGUAGUAAUCGCGGGUCAGCCAUACCGCGGUGAAUGCGUACUUGGGCCUUGUACACACCGCCCGUCACACCAACCGAGUAGGCGACACCCAAAGUCGACUUAUGUUGCCGAAGGUGUUACCUGCAAGGGGGGUGAAGUCGUAACAAGGUAGCCG